AGACCUCGCUAGGAGUGCUGGUGAGGGACUGCAAUUUAAGUGAUUCUUACAGUUCUGUUUAAUUGCACAGUUCAGCAAGACACUUGCUGCUGACACCAUUCCUGUAUUUUGUUCAAGGAUGUUUCAAGAUAUUAUGAAGACAUUAACAGCUCUAGAAGCAGGAACAGAGGCCACAGGUAUCAGACCAUUCCAGGAAAGAAACAUUUGGAGAACUGAGCUCAGAAAUUGAACUCACUUGUCUUCCCUUCCACCGUAAAACCAGCUUUGCUUAAAACGAAUUGUACAGUAGGAUAAACACUUUAUCGGGAAAGAACUUGGAUGCAAAAAGACCAACAAAACCUGCAGCAAGUCUUCACAAAUGGAUGGCUGGGAGAAGGCAGGUGGGAGGCUGUGCCUCAUGAAAGCAACCAACCAUCCAAUUUCAUUUCAGUAAUGUUUGUAAUUUUCUUCCUACUGGGGUGGCUGGAAGUACAGCUGCCCUAUACUUGUGUCCAUGUGCUCUGCUUUUGGUGAAAAUG
RNAcentral lists this long non-coding RNA (518 nucleotides) under Columba livia (rock pigeon). RNAcentral's name for it is "partial uncharacterized LOC106145818". The record is from RNAcentral. Lineage: Eukaryota; Metazoa; Chordata; Aves; Columbiformes; Columbidae.